UUGAGCCUGACCCACAAAGAGACACUUUGAGGACAGAGGAAGAGUGUGGAGGGAACACAGUGAACUGUGAAAUCUGAAGAGGCACAAGACACACCAAAGAUGACCUGCCCUGGCAGAUGAGGAUGAAGUUUAACAGCCAGCUGAAUACAGUGGAUCUGUACACCCUCAUCAACACACACACCAACAUCCCCAAGAUCAGGGAGGGACGACUGGCAGCACAGUCCUGGGCAGCACAUGUACCAUGUGAGACUCAGUACAAAGAUGCCGCCAGACAAAUUCUUGAGCAGAUAGUCGUCAUCCACAGAAUGUGUAUGAAAUACCCAGAAGCCUUCAUGUUUGCUUCCAGCAGCAAAGAUAUCGUGGAUGUAGUCAGAACAGGACAGCCAGUCUGAUCGGGGUGGAAGGAUGACACUCUUUGGACAGCAGCCUGGGUACCCUGCGUACCAUGUACCACCCGGGGGUCCGCUACCUCACCCUCACCCACAGCUGCAACACUCCAUGGCGAGUAGGCUACCCUGCUGACGACAGGGCCACCCUGGUCUGGGGACUAGGUGCCACAGAUUAUACUCAGGCAGACAAUUGGCUAGUGGAUUCGGGAGCCAAGCCAUGAGCGCAGCACAAUGGACUGUCUGAGUUUGGAAAGAUCACUUUGACAAAAUGAAAACUGUGGCUGGACACAGUAUCAUUGGUUUUGGUGGGGAUUAUGAUGGAGUGGGCAGGGUCCCGGAGGGUCUGGAGGAUGUGUUUAAGUACCCUGCUCCGGUGGCAGAGCUGCUGAGCAGAGGAUGGACAGAUGCCGAGGUGAAAGCUACUCUAGGGGACAACCUGCUCAGUGUGUUCAGAGAGGUGCCUACGCUGUGUACGAGACAGCCAGACGAUCUUCCCAUCCCUUAUGAGGAAGUGAAAAAUGACUACAGGACCAGCUAUGGCUCCCCUGUCCCAACCCAGACAGUGCUGGGACAGUUCUCUCCCUCAGCUCUCUGGCCCUGGCACUAACACUGACUCUGAGCAGCCUGCUGUCCUGGUCUCUCUCUAUAAGCCCCCUCUAAAUAGACCAUGCUGGGUGUGGUGGUAUUACCACCCCUUGUCUAUGGCAGUAGGCUGCCCAAGGCAUAGUAACACCUUACUACUUGAGUUCUGUGUUCUGUGGUCACAUCUUUCACAAGUUCUAUUGGUGAUGGAGUCCAUGAACUGUGAUUGAAGGAGGUACUUGUACAAAGAAAUCUUAACAUUACUAAACCAGUAAGUUAUUCUGAAACGGUGUUAUACACAUCACUGUUGACCUUAUACCAAGUAAAUCCAUGACCAGGCUACUUUACAUUUUAGAGUUUAAAUUAAAUGGUUAAAUGUAGCCCUCAGUAAAUAAAUAAUCAGGAAAAU
Oncorhynchus tshawytscha (Chinook salmon) is the source of this 1380-nucleotide RNA transcript. It is a transcript of the gene named dipeptidase 1-like, with no coding region annotated. The transcript has 7 exons. NCBI's taxonomy places the organism in Eukaryota, Metazoa, Chordata, Actinopteri, Salmoniformes, Salmonidae. The record is from RefSeq and is a predicted model, not a curated record.